Long non-coding RNA from Lepus europaeus (European hare), 2157 nucleotides. RefSeq lists it as uncharacterized. The transcript has 5 exons. The record is from RefSeq and is a predicted model, not a curated record. NCBI's taxonomy places the organism in Eukaryota, Metazoa, Chordata, Mammalia, Lagomorpha, Leporidae.
CCACUUUCUCCAUCUGUUUAGCAAACAUCGGCGGCAAAUCCUGUUUUCCACCUGUAAAGUGGCGCACUCAGCAUGUCACUAGUGUUCAUUGGAGCAGCCAGUCCUCUUCCUUAUUUACUUCUUCCUUGAGGUAAGUGGUUUGGGGAGGAGCUUAUAGAAUGGGGAGGUUGCGAGUGGCAAACAGGCAUAACAAAUUAAAGCUGACAGCUGAGAGAACGUCUUGGUUGGCAGAGCAGGGAGCAGAGCAGGGUCAGUGCCUACUCAGGAAGGGAACGGAGCCUUAGGUCUGAUUCGUGGCCCAUGAUAAGCUCUGAGUCACUCUGUCGGCCUCGGUCCUGCGGGAGCUCUGGCAGCGGGCCGCCUUGUGUAUCCCUGGCAUACCCUGGAGGUUAACCUCAGAAUACCCUGGCACUGCAGGGCGCCAGCUGCCUUUCAGAACUCCAUACGAAAGGAAACUAACAGCAGUUAGCGUUCCAGAAACGUAUUUGGUGGCUGUUGGAACUUGAACAUCAACAUGGACUUGGGCAAACAUGCAGAGUCAAGGCCUGGGGUUCCUCCCUACUUCCGCCGCUGAACAAGACAGCUCCUGGCCUGAGGACUUGUGCGCCAGCCUUCCAUGUGGGAGACCCAGAUAAAGCUCAGAACUUUGGCCCAGCCCUGGCUGUUGCAGCCAUCUGGGGACAGCUACUUCCACAGCUAAACAAGACAGUUCCACCUGGGAAAGUUCAUUCAACAGUGUUGGCAGAAAGACUCCUCCUCCAACAUCGCCGACUCAGGACGGGUAUGCGGCCUGAGGAGUGGCCGUUGUCUUCGUGCCCUCCCUGGCCUUCCCCGGUGGGUUCCAGGUGACUCGUGCCCAGCACAAUAAAGGCCAUGGUCCGAGUUCCAGAUUCUAGGCAGGACUCCCCCUUCUCAGAUCAGCUUAAACCUCACUCUGCCUUCUACGCGCCAGCGGGCUGCCGAGCCCACACACAGGCCUCCCGUGUUGGGGAACGGACAUGGCUUUGUGCUUCCCUGAGAUGCCCCCAGUAGCCCCAGCGGGUUACGGAAAAGACAAACAGCACGGUGAGUUACACACCUUAGCGUGCACUGCAUAUCCUGGGCCUGCUUUCCUCUGAGGCCACAGGAGAACCAGACCCGGAUUAGCUGAGUCUCUGGUCAUUUGAGCUUUGGCCUUUGGCAGUGGAGGGCUGGGUUAGAAAACAAACAUGCAUGCAAACAAACAGAACAAAACCCUCAGCAACUUGAGAAGUCCCUGAGUUCUCUAUGCAGUGGGGAGUCAUGCCCAUCUUCCUGGCUGUUCCAGGGGAUUGUCCGGUAAGACACGACUGGGCGGAUGGGGGCCCUCGGCGGGGCCUGUCCUGCUCUGGGAUUCACCCUGGUCAGUGAACUGAAAAAGAGGAACACUUUGCUUUCAGAAGCUACUGCAGCUUUUAGUCCCUGGGAGGGGAGAGGUUGGAAGACCAUAGGAGAGCUUGGGGAGCCUCUCCCCGGAGAGCCGGGGGUGACCGACCAGUGUGGGUGCAGGGCUCCCCCGUGGACCCCGUAGGCAGAACUCGCUCACACUGGGAGGCCCGUCUGGGCUAAGUCCCAAUUCCAUUAAGCAAAUGUAAGGAAAUCAGAAUGUAGAACAAGAGGUCCAAGGUCAGGAAAUGACCUGUGCAAACCCCCAGGGGCCCUGGGACCAAGUGGAAAAAAGGGGAGAAGGAAGAACUGCUGGCAGACGAGGCAGGAAAAGAGAUGAGAACUGGGGACCUGUCCUUCCAAGUCAUCGGACCCCACGCAGACCUCCAACCAGGUCUGGGCCUGCUCUCCUAUCCAUUCCAGCCCACCCACCAACUGCAGUUUCACCCUGUGCCCAAGAGAGGGCGCAAGUGAGCACCACGGUGUAGAUGGGUGCAAAGGAGCAUGGGACAGAAGGGCGGGUCCCGUGAGUAGCCUGGGCCUGGAGGUCCGCUGCUUCGCCCUGAUCCUGCCUGGCCCCUGCCAGCAGCACUGUGCUCAGGCACUCGUGGGUUAUCUUACAGGAGGGAUCUACAUGGACUGUGACUGUUCAGCUUGAGAAGGAAAAGGUCGUCCUUGGUCAGGUUGUCCAGCGGGACAAUCCAGCUGUCCCCCAGCUCCCCGUUGAGGUUGACCACCUUCUUCUCCUGCAUC